CAAUAUAUGAGACCGGCGCACGGGUGCGUAACGCGUAUGCAACCUACCUUUUACAGGGGAAUAGCCCAGAGAAAUUUGGAUUAAUGCCCCAUGGUAUAUUUUAGUGGCAUCACUAGAUUAUUAAAGUUCCAACGGUAAAAGAUGGGCAUGCGUCCUAUUAGCUAGAUGGUAAGGUAACGGCUUACCAUGGCUACGAUAGGUAGGGGUCCUGAGAGGGAGAUCCCCCACACUGGUACUGAGACACGGACCAGACUCCUACGGGAGGCAGCAGUGAGGAAUAUUGGACAAUGGGCGCAAGCCUGAUCCAGCCAUGCCGCGUGCAGGAAGACGCAUCUAUGGUGUGUAAACUGCUUUUGUACGGGAAGAAACACCUCUACGUGUAGAGGCUUGACGGUACCGUAAGAAUAAGGAUCGGCUAACUCCGUGCCAGCAGCCGCGGUAAUACGGAGGAUCCAAGCGUUAUCCGGAAUCAUUGGGUUUAAAGGGUCCGUAGGCGGUUUGGUAAGUCAGUGGUGAAAGCCCUUCGCUCAACGGAGGAACGGCCAUUGAUACUGCCAGACUUGAAUUACUGGGAAGUAACUAGAAUAUGUAGUGUAGCGGUGAAAUGCUUAGAUAUUACAUGGAAUACCAAUUGCGAAGGCAGGUUACUACCGGUGGAUUGACGCUGAUGGACGAAAGCGUGNGGAGCGAACAGGAUUAGAUACCCUGGUAGUCCACGCCNUAAACGAUGGAUACUAGCUGUUGGGAGCA
Molecule: ribosomal RNA, 750 nt
Filed under: uncultured Bacteroidota bacterium
Lineage: Bacteria; Pseudomonadati; Bacteroidota
Description: bacterial SSU rRNA
Rfam family: Bacterial small subunit ribosomal RNA
Source: RNAcentral